This is a long non-coding RNA of Polistes dominula (European paper wasp), 445 nucleotides long. RefSeq lists it as uncharacterized. The record is from RefSeq and is a predicted model, not a curated record. Lineage: Eukaryota; Metazoa; Arthropoda; Insecta; Hymenoptera; Vespidae.
UUUUGUUACGUCUUUUCCGAGAAAGCUUUUUCGCCCGGCUAUAUGAAGAUAAUGAUAAUAGUGAUUACGUCAUAUGAACGAUUCUACUGGCAGGCAGAGUUGGUUAUAAAUGUGAACGUUGAAUCGUUUCUAAAAACAGAUGAUGUGUUACUAGACACUUGUGCGGUAACUUCGGUUAGUUCUUUUUUUUUUUCUGCAUUCGGAUACAUUUUUUCGUAUCCUCAUUUACAAGAAGCAUUUUGCAAAAUCGACGACAGUGAAGAAAAUAAGACAAUUUUUGACAAAGAAUACAAAAAUACACUGGGACAAAUAAAUAGGAGUGAAAUUACAACGAAAUAAAAUAAAAUAAGACAAACGUAGAAGAAACUACGAGUUUAUUCGAAGUUGCCGUUGUUCGAAAGCUGUUCAAAAGAAGAAACGAAAAAAAAAAACCAAAAAAAAAAAA